This 860-nucleotide ribosomal RNA is filed under the name Enterococcus faecium. RNAcentral's name for it is "bacterial SSU rRNA". It matches the Rfam family "Bacterial small subunit ribosomal RNA", at positions 56 to 887 of the family's 1533-position model. Lineage: Bacteria; Bacillati; Bacillota; Bacilli; Lactobacillales; Enterococcaceae. The record is from RNAcentral.
UGCAGUCGUACGCUUCUUUUUCCACCGGAGCUUGCUCCACCGGAAAAAGAGGAGUGGCGAACGGGUGAGUAACACGUGGGUAACCUGCCCAUCAGAAGGGGAUAACACUUGGAAACAGGUGCUAAUACCGUAUAACAAUCGAAACCGCAUGGUUUUGAUUUGAAAGGCGCUUUCGGGUGUCGCUGAUGGAUGGACCCGCGGUGCAUUAGCUAGUUGGUGAGGUAACGGCUCACCAAGGCCACGAUGCAUAGCCGACCUGAGAGGGUGAUCGGCCACAUUGGGACUGAGACACGGCCCAAACUCCUACGGGAGGCAGCAGUAGGGAAUCUUCGGCAAUGGACGAAAGUCUGACCGAGCAACGCCGCGUGAGUGAAGAAGGUUUUCGGAUCGUAAAACUCUGUUGUUAGAGAAGAAUAAGGAUGAGAGUAACUGUUCAUCCCUUGACGGUAUCUAACCAGAAAGCCACGGCUAACUACGUGCCAGCAGCCGCGGUAAUACGUAGGUGGCAAGCGUUGUCCGGAUUUAUUGGGCGUAAAGCGAGCGCAGGCGGUUUCUUAAGUCUGAUGUGAAAGCCCCCGGCUCAACCGGGGAGGGUCAUUGGAAACUGGGAGACUUGAGUGCAGAAGAGGAGAGUGGAAUUCCAUGUGUAGCGGUGAAAUGCGUAGAUAUAUGGAGGAACACCAGUGGCGAAGGCGGCUCUCUGGUCUGUAACUGACGCUGAGGCUCGAAAGCGUGGGGAGCAAACAGGAUUAGAUACCCUGGUAGUCCACGCCGUAAACGAUGAGUGCUAAGUGUUGGAGGGUUUCCGCCCUUCAGUGCUGCAGCUAACGCAUUAAGCACUCCGCCUGGGGAGUACGACC